GGAUAUGAGGACGAUCUGGCUGUGACAUCUGUCACAUUAGCGAUUGCCAGGGUUGAUUUGGCUCCCAUGGCUGGCGAGGCAGCUGUCCUGCUUGCUACCUCGCCACUCCCUGUGAUUCCGUUCACCUCACUCCACAUCACGCCGUAUUCUAAAAUACCGCACCUAUUCAUGUAUUUUUAGAUAAGCCUGACCUAAUACAUUCAUAAAUUUAAUCAGUCUGAAGAUUUUUACUUUUGUUUUAAAAAGGGCCAGUCCCGCCUUGCGGCCCUGUUU
Molecule: small nuclear RNA, 273 nt
Filed under: Ictidomys tridecemlineatus (thirteen-lined ground squirrel)
Lineage: Eukaryota; Metazoa; Chordata; Mammalia; Rodentia; Sciuridae
Description: Spermophilus tridecemlineatus (thirteen-lined ground squirrel) 7SK RNA
Rfam family: 7SK RNA (bases 1-109)
Source: Rfam by way of RNAcentral